Peromyscus californicus insignis is the source of this 325-nucleotide long non-coding RNA. RefSeq lists it as uncharacterized. Lineage: Eukaryota; Metazoa; Chordata; Mammalia; Rodentia; Cricetidae. The record is from RefSeq and is a predicted model, not a curated record. The transcript has 3 exons.
CUGGUGACUUUCCCAGGCAGCCCCGCGAGGAGACUGCGGCUCCGGGGAGAUUUCAAGUCCCAAACACCGGGGCGGGUCUUCCUCACCCAAUGCUGCACCGCAGGAGUCCAACAAGCCUCACAAGGUCAGUCAGUCCUGCUCACUUGUGAAUCAGAACAAAGAGCCCUGGAUGCAGAAGAGAGAGGAGACAGUAGCAAAGGAUCCCGGAUGAUCCUUUGACCUGGACCAGCAAGUCAUUCUUCAGUGACAGGCUCCUGAGAUGGAAGGUCCAGUGAUCAGAAUAAAGAAGAUAGAAAAAUGGGCUCAGGAGAUCUUGCACAAGCUG